This 27-nucleotide non-coding RNA is filed under the name Mus musculus (house mouse). Lineage: Eukaryota; Metazoa; Chordata; Mammalia; Rodentia; Muridae. The record is from RNAcentral.
UGUUUCUCAGAAUUUGGCUGUACCCCA